ACCAUGAAGAGUUUGAUCCUGGCUCAGGAUGAACGCUAGCGACAGGCUUAACACAUGCAAGUCGAGGGGCAGCGGGGAGUAGCAAUACUUCG
Molecule: ribosomal RNA, 92 nt
Filed under: Butyricimonas faecihominis
Lineage: Bacteria; Pseudomonadati; Bacteroidota; Bacteroidia; Bacteroidales; Odoribacteraceae
Also listed under: 1 other name
Description: partial 16S ribosomal RNA
Rfam family: Bacterial small subunit ribosomal RNA
Source: RNAcentral